RNAcentral lists this non-coding RNA (25 nucleotides) under Rattus norvegicus (Norway rat). The record is from RNAcentral. Lineage: Eukaryota; Metazoa; Chordata; Mammalia; Rodentia; Muridae.
GAGAAGUUGUUCUGGGCGUCACUCC